UCAUGUAAAAUUUCUAAGAUAUGAACUUCAUAAAAAUAUAUUUUUUUUUUCAACUAUAAUAAAUCAAUUAUUCUAAUCAAAUCAGAGUUUUUCAACAAUAAUUUUAUAAAUAUAAUUAGAAACUCAAAAUAGCAUGAACCAUAAAGAAAAUUAACAGUUAUAAAUGUAAAGCCUUCUCACAGCGUGGUCCUAAAGGACCGAAUAGACCAAACCCGGAGUGCCGAAUUAAAAGGUACGAAAGAGUGCAGAAUUUGGAUUGGGUAGUAGCAACAAUUUCAAUUCUCACUGCAGUAAUGCCAACAGCCCUAGUAAUAAUAACAUGGGACAACCACAGUAACAAUGGCAGCAAAUCCAACGGCCUAUGGUAGUUUAAAAUUGAGCAAAGACAGAAAGGGGUAUUAAGCAAGGUAGGACAAAGUCAAUAAUAAGGCUUUACGGCAAGAUAAGGUAGAACAAGAUGAGUCUUACCAAAGAAAACAAGGGGAUGGAGCAUCAGCAGCUCCGGUGACCCUCUCCAACGUCGACGGUGAAGGACACAACAGAAUAACGGUGGCGGUGGUUCCUCUCCUCUGGAGUGACUCCCGCAGCAACACUACAAGCUUUGACGAACAGGGGA
RNAcentral lists this long non-coding RNA (616 nucleotides) under Arachis ipaensis. RNAcentral's name for it is "long non-coding RNA (AIPA_LNC000543)". Lineage: Eukaryota; Viridiplantae; Streptophyta; Magnoliopsida; Fabales; Fabaceae. The record is from RNAcentral.